Molecule: ribosomal RNA, 497 nt
Filed under: uncultured bacterium
Lineage: Bacteria
Description: partial 16S ribosomal RNA
Rfam family: Bacterial small subunit ribosomal RNA
Source: RNAcentral
GAUGAACGCUGGCGGCGUGCCUAAUACAUGCAAGUCGAACGGACGGGCGAGGAUCUUACUUCUCUGAUGUUAGCGGCGGGCGGGUAAGUCACACGUGGAUAGCCUUGCUCUAAGGCUGGGGUCACUUCGAGAAACCGGAGCUAAUACCAGAUGAUAUUUUGAGCGGCAUGGUUCAAAAGUGAAAGACGGUCUUGCUGUGACUGAGACAUGUAUCCGCGCUGCAUUAGCUAGUUGGUAAGGUAACGGCUUACCAAGGCAAGGAUGGAUAGCCGACCUGCGAGGGUGAUAGGCCACACGGGAGCUGAGACACGGUCCAGACUCCUACGGGAGGCAGCAGUAGGGAAUCUGCCGCAAUGGGCGAAAGCCUGACGGAGCAACGCCGCGUGAGUGAUGAAGGUCUUCGGAGCGUAAAACUCUGUUAUUAGGGAAGAACAUAUGUGUAAGUAACUGUGCACAUCGUGACGGUACCUAAACAGAAAGCCACGGCUAACUACGUG